UUCAGGAAGGUCAGCAGAAAUAUAAUGUACGUGGAGGUCAAUACCACCAGCAGUCACAAUCAAACCUUCUGCAGCAAUGGCUUCUGUACUAGCACCCACAACAAAGUCCACAUUGUCCAUUGUAUCUGGGUUACCACCGCGACCAAUAGCAACAAUCUUACCAUCACGAAUACCGAUAUCUGCUUUAAUAAUACCUGUAUAGUCAAUGAUGGUUGCACCUGUAAUAAUGGUAUCAACAACUGAUGGAUUGUCACGUGUUUCCGUA
Molecule: small RNA, 265 nt
Organism: Streptococcus thermophilus LMG 18311
Lineage: Bacteria; Bacillati; Bacillota; Bacilli; Lactobacillales; Streptococcaceae
Rfam family: 5' ureB small RNA
Source: Rfam